This 119-nucleotide ribosomal RNA is filed under the name Pteropus alecto (black flying fox). Lineage: Eukaryota; Metazoa; Chordata; Mammalia; Chiroptera; Pteropodidae. The record is from RNAcentral.
GUCUACGGACCUGCCACCCUAAGCAAGCCCUAUUCCAUCUGAUCUCGGAAGCUAAGCAGGGUUGGGCCUGGUUAGUACUUGGAUGGGAGACCACCUAGGAAGACCAGGUGCUGUAGACA